Molecule: non-coding RNA, 86 nt
Filed under: uncultured Azonexus sp.
Lineage: Bacteria; Pseudomonadati; Pseudomonadota; Betaproteobacteria; Rhodocyclales; Azonexaceae
Description: sRNA-Xcc1
Rfam family: sRNA-Xcc1
Source: RNAcentral
GGCCGGGUAGUGCGCAGUGAUACAACACCCGCAAGGGGAAAACUGCGAGCGGUCUAUGAGCCGUGUUGAAGUACCUGGCCGCCCCU